GAUGAACGCUGACAGAAUGCUUAACACAUGCAAGUCAACUUGGACUUCGGUUUGGGUGGCGGACGGGUGAGUAACGCGUAAAGAACUUGCCUCACAGAUAGGGACAACAUUUGGAAACGAAUGCUAAUACCUGAUAUUAUGAUUUUAGGGCAUCCUAGAAUUAUGAAAGCUAUAUGCGCUGUGAGAGAGCUUUGCGUCCCAUUAGCUAGUUGGAGAGGUAACGGCUCACCAAGGCGAUGAUGGGUAGCCGGCCUGAGAGGGUGAUCGGCCACAAGGGGACUGAGACACGGCCCUUACUCCUACGGGAGGCAGCAGUGGGGAAUAUUGGACAAUGGACCGAGAGUCUGAUCCAGCAAUUCUGUGUGCACGAUGAAGUUUUUCGGAAUGUAAAGUGCUUUCAGUUGGGAAGAAAUAAAUGACGGUACCAACAGAAGAAGUGACGGCUAAAUACGUGCCAGCAGCCGCGGUAAUACGUAUGUCACGAGCGUUAUCCGGAUUUAUUGGGCGUAAAGCGCGUCUAGGUGGUUAUGUAAGUCUGAUGUGAAAAUGCAGGGCUCAACUCUGUAUUGCGUUGGAAACUGUAUAACUAGAGUACUGGAGAGGUAAGCGGAACUACAAGUGUAGAGGUGAAAUUCGUAGAUAUUUGUAGGAAUGCCGAUGGGGAAGCCAGCUUACUGGACAGAUACUGACGCUAAAGCGCGAAAGCGUGGGUAGCAAACAGG
This 722-nucleotide ribosomal RNA is filed under the name uncultured Fusobacterium sp. Its description in RNAcentral is "bacterial SSU rRNA". It matches the Rfam family "Bacterial small subunit ribosomal RNA", at positions 28 to 776 of the family's 1533-position model. Lineage: Bacteria; Fusobacteriati; Fusobacteriota; Fusobacteriia; Fusobacteriales; Fusobacteriaceae. The record is from RNAcentral.